GUGGCUUAGUGGUUAAGAGCACUGACUGCUGUUGCAGAGGUCCUGAGUUCAAAUCCCAGC
Mus musculus (house mouse) is the source of this 60-nucleotide non-coding RNA. NCBI's taxonomy places the organism in Eukaryota, Metazoa, Chordata, Mammalia, Rodentia, Muridae. The record is from Rfam.